GAAACACUUGAAUAUUCCUUCCCUCCUAAAGGGAUUCGAAUUGUCAAAGAAUGUAAUGGCGAAAAUCAGCUGAACCACAAUCAAUAAGGGAAAAGAAAUAGAUCUCGAUCACAAAGAAAAUAAUAAAAGAUGGAAAUUAAAGACAGAGUGAGAAAGACAUUCGGCCAAAGAAAAAGAAGAGGAGAGAAAAGUGAUUCGGCCCGGCGGAGAAGAGAAGAGAAGAGAAAAGGGAUUCGGCCCCAACAAACAAAAAGGAAAAAAGAAAAGUAAAGAGAAGAAAAUGAAAUAAAUGAGCAAACCCGAGAGUAACUUCCAGUACUUGGCAAAAUUCAGCACCAAAACUAAAACGUAAAACCUAAAACUCACAGAAAUCGAAGCAGACUAAGAAAGAAACUCCAAAAAUAAACCAAAACCGAAUACCUUAAGUGAUAAAUGAUCAAAUUUGGCACAACUACCCUCCCAAAUCAAAUUCCUUGAUUUCUUCCCCAAACCUC
This 494-nucleotide long non-coding RNA is filed under the name Gossypium raimondii (Peruvian cotton). RNAcentral describes it as "long non-coding RNA (GRAI_LNC008283)". The record is from RNAcentral. Lineage: Eukaryota; Viridiplantae; Streptophyta; Magnoliopsida; Malvales; Malvaceae.